Neopelma chrysocephalum (saffron-crested tyrant-manakin) is the source of this 204-nucleotide long non-coding RNA. RefSeq lists it as uncharacterized. Lineage: Eukaryota; Metazoa; Chordata; Aves; Passeriformes; Pipridae. The transcript is spliced from 3 exons. The record is from RefSeq and is a predicted model, not a curated record.
GGGCCGGCGGCCCCGUGGCAGGUCACCGACAUGAUGCAGAAAGCCCUCUUCGACUUCCUCAAGCACAGAUUCGACGGCAGGAUCUCCAUCACCCACAUCACGGCCGACCUGUCCCUGGCCAAGCGCUCCAUCCUCAACAACCUGGGCAAGCAGGCCAUCCUGGAGCGCUCCACCACCCGCUCCAGCAUCGCCGAGGUGCAAAGC